Manis pentadactyla (Chinese pangolin) is the source of this 74-nucleotide small nucleolar RNA. RefSeq annotates it as small nucleolar RNA SNORD113/SNORD114 family. The transcript has a single exon. The record is from RefSeq and is a predicted model, not a curated record. NCBI's taxonomy places the organism in Eukaryota, Metazoa, Chordata, Mammalia, Pholidota, Manidae.
CAGACCAAUGAUGAUGCCUAGUGGAGUAUCAGUCACGAAUGAUGAUACCAUGUGUUUGGAACUCUGAGGUCCAG